Molecule: long non-coding RNA, 1147 nt
Filed under: Homo sapiens (human)
Lineage: Eukaryota; Metazoa; Chordata; Mammalia; Primates; Hominidae
Description: HSALNT0355004
Source: RNAcentral
CUGGCCGCCUCCUCUAACUUUGAGCCCCUCUACAACCUGGCUCCCGCCUCUAACGCGCUGGGCCUCCUCGACCAAGCCCCUCAAGUCUCUCUUUGUCUCGCACGUUGUUGGUGUAAUGUGGGCUAAUCCAAAAUUGUCUCUCUCCUCGGAGUGGUUGGCCCAGACUAGAUAUUAGUCACUACAAGAAUGUAUACUAGGCCAGGUGCGGUGGCUCACGCCUGUAAUCCCAGCAGUUUGGGAGGCAGAGGUGGACGGAUCACGAGGUCAGGAGUUCGAGACCAGCCUGGCCAACAUGGUGAAACCCCGUCUCUACUAAAACUACAAAAAAAAAAUAUUAGCUGGGCAUGGUGGUGGGUGCCUGUAAUCCCAGCUACUAGGGAGGCUGAGGCUGGAGAAUCACUUGAACCUGGGAAGUGGAGGUUGCAGUAAGCCAAUCUCGCCACUACACUCCAGCCUAGAUGACAAGAGCAAAACUGCAUCUCAAAAAAAUACAUAAAAUAAAAAAUUAGAAAAACUAGCUGGGCGUGGUAGCGCACGCCUGUAGUCCCAGCUACUCGGGAGGCUGAGGCAGGCAAAUCACCUGAAUCUGGGAGGCAGAGGUUGCAGCGAGCUAAGAUCACGCCACUACACUCCAGCCUGGGCAACAGAGCAAGAUUCUGUCUCAAGAAAAAUAAAUAAAUAAAAAUAAAAUAAAAUGGAGGUUAAAUGAACGUUAUUAUCCAUCAUUUAGAAGCAAAAAGGCUGACCAAGCCCAGUGGCUCAUGCCUGUAAUCCUAGAACUCUGGGAGGCUGAUGAGGCAGGAGGAUUGCUUGAGGCCUAAGAGUUCAAGACCAACCUGGCCAACAUAGUGAGACACCAUCUCUUAAAAAAGUAAAAUAAAGAAGUAAAAAAGUCCUCAGCUUCUCACUGCAGCUCAUCAAAAACCCAGGAAUCAAACUAACAAGCCUUCCCCACCUUUUAGGAAUUCUCCAGUGGUGCAAUCAGUCCAGCCAGCUAAUUAACACUUUAAAAUGUGUAUUUGCCUUGAUGGCUAAAUGUUACUUCUGGAAGCCAAGAGUAAUCUGAGAUAACUCUCCAUAGGAGGGUGCUCACAUCUCAACUCCCGGCUCAUUUAUCCACUCACUGCAGGCAGGAAGCUGAAUUCGA